GUGUCAGCCGCCGCGGUAAUACGGAGGGUGCAAGCGUUAUCCGGAAUUAUUGGGUUUAAAGGGUCCGCAGGCGGGCAUAUAAGUCAGUGGUGAAAGCCUACAGCUUAACUGUAGAACUGCCAUUGAUACUGUAAGUCUUGAAUUCGGUCGAAGUGGGCGGAAUGUGACAUGUAGCGGUGAAAUGCUUAGAUAUGUCACAGAACACCGAUAGCGAAGGCAGCUCACUAGGCCUGAAUUGACGCUCAUGGACGAAAGCGUGGGGAGCAAACAGGAUUAGAUACCCCAGUAGUCC
Molecule: ribosomal RNA, 292 nt
Filed under: uncultured Fluviicola sp.
Lineage: Bacteria; Pseudomonadati; Bacteroidota; Flavobacteriia; Flavobacteriales; Crocinitomicaceae
Description: partial 16S ribosomal RNA
Rfam family: Bacterial small subunit ribosomal RNA
Source: RNAcentral